GAACCAAACAGACCCUAAAACUCUUCCCACUUCCUCUUCUUCUCAUGAGACUCACCAUGGAGCAUCAAGAAAUUCAUCCUCACUUCAUUUGAUUCACAAUCUUGCAUGAUUACUUCUAAAAAAUAAAAAUAAAUCAGCAACCUCUCUCCCUACUCUCCUUACCCUCCACGCAGCAGCAGCAACAACAACAACAAUUGCCUUCAACCCAUUUUCUUCUCAACCUCAAAUUAAUCCCAAAUCUACCAUGCAAUUCACUUCUUAGGUUCCUAAGCUCAAGUGGAACAAGUGGGUUUGGUGGAAGAGUAGUAUUGUUGCAAGAGAAGGUCAGAAGCAAGGAUUAGAGAGCUAUUAAUGGGUCGGAGGAGUUGGAAGAGCUCAUAGCUAGCUUUUAAGUUUCUUGGGUGUUAUUGGCACUUUAAGCUAACUCAAAUACGGUCGUUGUGGUACUGGUUGCAUAAUUUUUCGACUGAGCGAUGAGGUCGAUAGACAUUUUUGAAGUUGGAAGUCAGUAGCAGAGUUUGUGCAGAAAAUCUGGUUUUUUGGUGUUUUAUGGACUACGGAUUUGCAUUUUGAGCGGCACUAACGGAUGAUUAUAAGCAUGCGAAACAGUUUGGAAUCGCUAUCAAACUCAGAUAGUCAGGUUUACUAGAGCAAGGACCAGGUGGGAACUGUUGGUCGAGACUGAGAUUGGAUUACCCGAUGAGAAGAAUUGUCUUCUUCCUUGUUUUUGUAUUAAUAUGUUGUUUCCAUUAGUUUCCUUCCGCUGUGAAUUUUUAUAAUUAGAAGUCAUUCUGUAAUUUAAUGUACUCGGAUUCAAUUAUGUAUAUUCCGACUAAAUAUUCUAGACAUUUUAGUUGGGGUGUUAUAAUUGGUAUCAGAGCAGGUCGAUCCAGUAUUGGACCUUGCCAUGAGUCAUUAAGGUUCAAUCCAAAGAAGUACGGACCCUUUGGAGUCUGGACUGUUUACGCUGAAAUCAUCGCGUGCUGAGCCCAAUCAACUCAGUAUCGUGUAUGGUAGGCAGGGUAUUACGGUUGAGAACCGAAGUGGACCAAGGUGGUCAAGUAGUAAGAGCGCAGUAGAAGCACGAAUUCAGAGGCAGUUGUGAAUGAAGAUCCUUUGAACCGGAUAUUGGAACUGGAGUAGUCGACGCCACAGGAGUAAGUAGUGUAACACCAACAAGUGGUGCAAAGAAUUCGGAAGAAGUACGUGGUAGCAGUAGUAAGAGGUAUGUUAAAAGGUGCAAGAGAUUGAUGCGCUCGAAUGUUGGGAGCGGGCGUAACUAUUUAGAGGAUCUUGAUAAAAAGGAAAACCCAGUAUUUGAAUAAGCGUUGACCGAAAUAGAAUCGAAAUGGAGUAUAGAAGUAGGACCCUCGAAUGAAGAUAGUAAGUCUGAAUUGUGCAAUGAGACAGAUGAUGGACUUGGGAGACUGGGCACAGUUUAAUUGAAAUGUGUAGUAUGCAAGUAGUAACUAACCGACACAUUAGUGUUGUGUGAAUCUUUCGGAACCUAGAAUUAACCUUCUGUCCUUGUGAACCUUUAUCAGUAACAUGUCGAUCCAAGUAUGACCUAAUAGUCAGUUAGCCACAACUUUUCCUAAAAUUGUUAAUCUUCGGUGCAGUCCAGAAAUUCAUUUUAGUGUCAACAGACCCAUUAACUACCUCUAUUGGAGAAUUCAAACUAGACCACAUAUAUCCCAUUGUUUUUCUAAAGUAAGUCUAUCGUACUAUUCAUUUAGAAUGAGUUACACCAGAUGUCCUCGAGGAGAAAAUUUCAGCCUCUCAGCCCGUAACCAGUAAUCUUACCAGACCACUAGAAGUCAAGCCUUACCCAGUAUAACAAUUAGAAUUUCGUCUUAAUGAUACCAGUCAUUCAAGUAGGUCUGUUAAGUGUCGUUACUCAAUUAACCUUAAAAUUAGAAACUCAAUUUUAUAUUAGUCUUAAUAAGUCAAAAAAAAAAAAAAAAAAAAACCCUUAGGUGUUCAAACCUUACAGCCAAUACCCAUCAGAGUCAGUUACACAUCCUUGUAAGAGCUUGUCAGCGAAAUUUCAAAUUAGAAUCAAGUUUUUCGUAACUUAAGAGAAUUGCCGAUAGAAAGAAUUUGUGGAGUAUGAGCUUGAAAUCAGUAGGAAGUAGACCCUAACGUUUAUAGUAGACAGUAAUGACUAGAACCGAUACGGUGGACGUGACGAAAUAUAUUUCGAAAUAAGAUACGGGGAAGUAUGUAAGCUGGUACUAGAUUGGUAGUUCAAUGAUAGUUAAGUCGAGACGACAAAACCCCUGACUCUAAGCAGAGAGUGGAAUGAAAUCUUAAGCGUGCAGUGUCAAUUAGAAUUGUGUGGCGUGUAAACCUUAGAGAACAAGUUGCCAUCCAACCAUGGGAACACUAACCGGGUAUAAUUCGUUGAAUUGAGCAAUGCAUGAUUCGAUAUCAGCAAGCCGUAGAAAAUCAUAAAUGUGCGUGAUCUCCAAUUUGUCUGAUUAUGCCUCAGAUAAAUAAUUUCUUUUUAUGCCUUAAUGCCUAUCAGCAAUGUUCGACAAAUAAAUUCAAAUAAAAUGAGAACCUCCCUAUUUUCUCGUUAUUUAUCAGUCAAACGAACGUUUAGCGUAUUAUUUUCAAGAUCUCUGCCCAAAAUAUCUUUAGCCUUUCCGUUACAUUAUUAAUGAUCAAUCCAGAUCAGCAAAAGUUCAAUUACUCUAAAAGGACACGAGUAAAUCCAGUUUAAGUGCCCACUUGUCCUGUAAUUCUUGUUACCCUGUUAAUCAGUAUCAUUAAACCCUCUAGAUACAAAUGACUCAGUUCAGUGUCAGUUUCGGUAAAACACUUAGAUCUUCCAUGUGCUUGAAAUUCGAAAUUGUUUAACCAAUCGAUUUACUCAACCUUCCUUAUAAGAUCUCAUCAACUAGUUUCGAAUAAGAUCCAAAUCCUCCCGUGUUCAAGGGAAUUAAGAAGAAAUAAUAAGGUCAAUAUUAAUUGAAAACCCUUUUCAGUCCCAUCCAUAGUUAUCAGAAUAGACUAGUGUAAGCCUGAGAGUAUUAGCCAAUAAACACGAGUGUUCCUUCAGGCAACUACCAAUUAUUCUAGUGAUUUGUUUGUUGAUACCUAUAAGCAAUCUAGAGACAAAUAACUCCAUUAGUAUUGCCACUAGCAUUUUAAGACAACAUCUUUUGUUACUCGACUGUUUGAACAGUGAUCCUUCAUUAGAACCUUAUCAGCAUGUCAGUCUAAUAUUUUAGUCUCAUCUUAAAUAUCUCUGACAAAAUGUCUUCAACUCCCAAAUUCCAAUGUCAGCAACUAGUUCGAAUCAGUGUACGCUGAAAUUUCUCGCUGCGUAUUGAAUUGUCUCCUUUUGAAAAACAUCAAUUGUCCUAGCUAAUCUGUUAUUUAACCUCAUUAAGCACUCCAGAGUUAAGCGAUUCAAAUUAGUUCCGGUAUUAGAAAUUCAAGACCUUAUGUGCUUAACCACCGAAUUGGUAACUAGACUGUCUCAAUCAAUUUCUUAUCAAAAUCCUACCAGCUAAAUUCCGCCAAGAUCCAAUUCUCGUUUUAGAAGAAUGUCGGUAGAAUUGGAAGUUAAGCAGAGUUGACUCGUGGAUAACAUCAGUGAAUGUAGUAAGGGUUAGCGUUAGAUCAAUUAAGUCACCAUAAGUGGAGUAUGACGAGAAAGAUGAAACACGGUGCCGAACGCGAAGCGGUGAAAAGACUAAAGGACAUGAAACAACUAGAAAACGAUAUGAGUGGACGUGUAGCAAAAAUAUAAGGUUGCGAUAAAGUGUUAAUUAUGCAGUGGUACGUCUGACAUCACAAAGCGAUGCAAGUUUUGAUUUAUGAGGUUGUACGACGGAAAAGGUAGUGAUGUGAUAUGUGAUAGGAAAUAGAGACAAUUAAUGCAAUAUCUAGUAGACUGGUUUUUAGAAGUAAAGUACGGUAGAAGUAUACGCUGGACGAGAUGCAAUGAGGUAUAACGCAUUCGGGAAUUGUAGACGUUGGUUGUAUGGACACAACCAGAAAGAUGCAUUGGUAAUUAAAACCAGAGUGCGCAGCAGAAUAUUGGUUGAGAAUGUUGAAAGAUUGGCUUUUAGGCCAAUAGCUCUUUAAGAGAGGAAAGUUUUAUUCCAAGAAAAUUGUCGUAGAUGAUUGUAAGAUAAUUGAAAAAAGUGUGACGAGUAGGUUACGCGUAAGUCCACACUUAAACUUUGGAUUGUAGUAACGGAGUACCUUUGAGGGCAGGGAUUGCGUUGUAAAAACAGUUUAAAUGAGGAGUUUAACCUGGUGAAAUAGUAAGAACAAGUGUGCAUCGGUGUCGUUUUAAAGAAUAUAGAUAUAGAAAGGCUAAUAUAAGAUGAACACGCACCUAAGAGUUGUAAUGUGGACUACAGUUGGGAGUUCGAGGUCAUGAAUUGGAUAAGUAGGGAUUCAAAUAGUAGCAUAAACACUACUAAUGCAAAGAAGAGUAAUGAUGGGUAAUUAUGGAAUAACUAAUUAUGACCAAUUAAGAGACGGAGUUAGAAUCUGAACGAGUUAUAGGCAAUUACCCGGUGAUAUAUGUAGUAGUUUCCGAAUUUCGAGGACGAAAUUCUUUUAAGGGAGGUAGAUUGUAACGACCCAACUCUAAUUAAUAAUAAUAGUAUUAAUUAGAAACCCCAAAUUGAAAUAAGAAUGAGGUUUAUUGGAUGAAUCAGAAGAAAUUUUUAAGGAAAAAUACAAGUAUGUUUGGUGUUAAGAAAAAGGGGUACAAUUAGUAGUUAUGACAAGCUGAGAGACAAAUGUGUAAAAUGAUUUUUGGCUGUUUAAGUGAAAUUGGAGAGAGAGAAAACAAAAAGUCAGUAAAACUCUCCCCACUUCCUCUUCUUCUCACGAGACUCAAGAAAAGAAAUAAAUCAGCAACCUCUCUCCCUACUCUCCUUACCCUCCACGCAGCAGCAACAACAACAACAACAAUUGCCUUCAACCCAUUUUCUUCUCAACCUCAAAUUAAUCCCAAAUCUACCAUGCAAUUCACUUCUUAGGUUCCUAAGCUCAAGUGGAACAAGUGGGUUUGGUGGAAGAGUAGUAUUGUUGCAAGAGAAGGUCAGAAGCAAGGAUUAGAGAGCUAUUAAUGGGUCGGAGGAGUUGGAAGAGCUCAUAGCUAGCUUUUAAGUUUCUUGGGUGUUAUUGGCACUUUAAGCUAACUCAAAUACGGUCGUUGUGGUACCGGUUGCAUAAUUUUUCGACGAGCGAUGAGGUCGAUAGACAUUUUUGAAGUUGGAAGUCAGUAGCAGAGUUUGUGCAGAAAAUCUGGUUUUUUGGUGUUUUAUGGACUACGGAUUUGCAUUUUGAGCGGCACAAACGGAUGAUUAUAAGCAUGCGAAACAGUUUGGAAUCGCUAUCAAACUCAGAUAGUCAGGUUUACUAGAGCAAGGACCAGGUGGGAACUGUUGGUCGAGACUGAGCUUGGAUUACCCGAUGAGAAGAAUUGUCUUCUUCCUUGUUUUUGUAUUAAUAUGUUGUUUCCAUUAGUUUCCUUCCGCUGUGAAUUUUUAUAAUUAGAAGUCAUUUUGUAAUUUAAUGUACUCGGAUUCAAUUAUGUAUAUUCCGACUAAAUAUUCUAGACAUUUUAGUUGGGGUGUUAUAAAUUUUAUUAUAUUUAUUGUACCGUAAAAA
This is a long non-coding RNA of Trifolium pratense (red clover), 5643 nucleotides long. RefSeq lists it as uncharacterized. The record is from RefSeq and is a predicted model, not a curated record. NCBI's taxonomy places the organism in Eukaryota, Viridiplantae, Streptophyta, Magnoliopsida, Fabales, Fabaceae. The transcript is spliced from 7 exons.